UAUAUGUCAACUGCUGAAGCACUAUGCAUAAAAAACACAUUAACUGAUCAAAUUGGUCUUGGCCGUCUUAUCUCAAAGCACGAAAUGUUCUGUUUUGAGAAAACAGUGUUUAAAACAUUUGAACUUUUGCUUGAAUAUCUUAUAUUUCGAAAAACAGUAUAAACUGUACGAUCUAAAUUUAGUUUGCACGGUCUAAAUUUAGUUUGCACGAAAGUUGUAAACAACACCAUAUAAGGACAGACAUUCCAUAUUUGGAAAAACGAACGUUACGGGGCAGAUAUUCAAAUUCAUUAGUCAUCGAUGCAGGCUCUCAAUUCAGCUUGAGAGCCUGUUCGCAGGCUACCUUUU
Non-coding RNA from Paramuricea clavata, 348 nucleotides. The record is from the annotation of a GenBank genome assembly. Lineage: Eukaryota; Metazoa; Cnidaria; Anthozoa; Malacalcyonacea; Plexauridae.